This 253-nucleotide ribosomal RNA is filed under the name uncultured bacterium. RNAcentral's name for it is "partial 16S ribosomal RNA". It matches the Rfam family "Bacterial small subunit ribosomal RNA", at positions 524 to 776 of the family's 1533-position model. The record is from RNAcentral.
UACGGAGGGGGCUAGCGUUGUUCGGAAUUACUGGGCGUAAAGCGCGCGUAGGCGGAUCUGCAAGUCGGGGGUGAAAUCCCGAGGCUCAACCUCGGAACUGCCUUCGAUACUGCGGGUCUCGAGUCCGGGAGAAGUGAGUGGAAUUCCUAGUGUAGAGGUGAAAUGCGCAGAUAUCGGGAAGAACACCCGUGGCUAAGGCGGCUCUCUAGUACGGUACUGACGCUGAGACGCGAAAGCGUGGGGAGCGAACAGG